UGACCUCAGGUGUCCUCUCAGGCUAGUCAGAGGUCUGGCGAGAAGCUGAGUAAAUCCCAGCCUUGGGUUCAGCCAAGCAAGCUUCAUAACAUACAAACACUUAAUACUAAUUUGGAUUUGUCCCACCCUGGCUAGUCAUCCCUUCUCAGAAACACUGACCAAAUCUGAAAAUCGCCUCCAGCUCUGCCGCUCAUGUAGGGACUCAUGUUUUCCAGCGUGGCGAGCUCAUUUCAGCGCCUCUCCCUGUGAAAGAUAUUUAUCACCGUGGUGGGCAUUCCUUUGUGUUAAAUUAAUCUUUCAAGAGUGAGUAAUGACCACAAGAGCUGGAGUCCUUCUCUUCUGUGGUGGGGAUGCAGUGGAGGAAUCCAGCCCAGCUUGGUCAGCAGAGCCGAGAUGGGGGAAGGCUGACAGAGCAGACUUAUUAUUUAGGAUGAAAUGCAGAAGUCUGGGAUUCUUCAAGAUUUUACCCAAACCUGAUAGUUCUAAGAAGAACAUUUCUAAGAAGUAUCACCUUCUGCUCCUGACUGCAAUUGUGGACAUCAAGAUGGGGUGGCGAGUCUAGUCAUGCCUGUGAUUCCUCUCCUUCCUUCCACAAACCUGACUACUCAACACAGUGGCACCAUCUGCAUAGAGGAAAGUACAGAAGUGCUCAGAAAUCAGUGGUAACAUGUCCAAAGGACUGAGGAGCCUCCUUGGAAGUCUUCUUAUGGGUCCGUCUUGCUCAGUUAAGCACAGUAAGAAAUCAUGAUAGCAUUGAAACUGAACACAUCAGCUAAAACAAAAUCUUCAAGACCAUAUUGACGCUGAUCCUGAGACCUUAAGGAAAACGCAGAAUUGUCAAUAAAGAGGGAUCUUCCAGUUGACCAUCCUGAUGGGACAGUGGAACCUAUUUCUCAAUGUAAAGGAAAAGAAACCCUAAAGUAAGAGUUAAUGCCAAGUUCUCAUCUCAGACUGAAGUGGAAGGGCUUCAGAGAAGGAAGAGAUGGAAGGGCAGGGAUGACCUGGAGAGGAGAUAGAGGUAGAACUACAUCCAGGUCAAAGGUCACACAAGGCAGCAAAGCAAAGGUAAGAAAGCAACUUCUCUGUGCAUUCAAGUGCUCUGCUAGGACUGGCCAGGCUGGAGGUGAGAAGCCAGGGUCAAUGAAGGGGCUUUGGCUUUACCUGUGGUCUGAGUGGCC
Erinaceus europaeus (western European hedgehog) is the source of this 1178-nucleotide long non-coding RNA. RefSeq lists it as uncharacterized. NCBI's taxonomy places the organism in Eukaryota, Metazoa, Chordata, Mammalia, Eulipotyphla, Erinaceidae. The transcript is spliced from 4 exons. The record is from RefSeq and is a predicted model, not a curated record.